RNA transcript from Musa acuminata AAA Group (dessert banana), 6001 nucleotides. RefSeq lists it as uncharacterized. NCBI's taxonomy places the organism in Eukaryota, Viridiplantae, Streptophyta, Magnoliopsida, Zingiberales, Musaceae. The transcript is spliced from 44 exons. The record is from RefSeq and is a predicted model, not a curated record.
UGCCCUCGAACCCAUUUAGAUCUCUGGUUAAAGCCGUCAGAUGAAGAUCAGACGACUGGCACGCUCGUUUCGUCUCAGAGUCAUCGUGGUUCGCCACGACGAAAUCAAAAGCGAAGGCGAGAAAAUGAAACUCACCACUUGGUUGUUUUCUUCUUCGUCCGUCUUUCGCGAUCUCGCGAUGCGUCGUCCCUCUCUUUGUUCUCUCCGAAGCUUUCUUCUCCCUUCCUCGAGAUCCGAACCCUAACCCUCCUCCGUUUCUCUGAUCGGAGUGACACUAGCUAGAGGAAUCAACCUCUUCCGAGGUAAGGGAUGGCUUUUAUGGCGGUGCUCGAGUCCGAUCUGCGGGCGCUGUCUGUCGAAGCCCGCCGAAGGUAUCCGGCUGUGAAGGAUGCCGCGGAGCAUGCGAUCUUGAAGCUUCGCUCCUUGUCAAGUCCAAAUGAAAUUGCUCACAAUGAGGACAUAUUGCGCAUAUUUUUGAUGGCUUGUGAUGUUAAGUCAGUAAAACUUAGUGUCAUCGGACUUUCUUGUUUGCAAAAGCUCAUAGCACAUGAUGCUGUUACGCCAUCAGCUGUGAAAUAUAUACUUUCCACCUUGAAAGAGCAUGCUGAGAUGACAGAUGAGAGUGUUCAGCUUAAAACCUUGCAGACUAUCUUAAUUGUAUUCCAGUCACAUUUGCAUCCUUUAGAGGAGGACAACAUGGCUCAAGCUCUUGGUAUAUGUCUCCGUCUACUUGAGAGCAGUCGAUCUUCUGACAGUGUGCGCAAUACUGCUGCAGCUACAUUCAGGCAGGCCGUAGCUCUUAUUUUUGAUAGCGUUGCUUGCAUUGAAUCACUUCCUCCUGGCAAAAUUGGUUCUGGCAGUCACACGUCUCGAGCUAGUACCAUUAUGGAUGAUAUUAGCCGUAGUUUCAAUAACUCAGUGUCACUUGAUAGUGAUUUUGUUUCUGAAGGGCCAGCAAAGCGAGAAGGUCUUAGUAAAGUUGGUAAACUUGGACUUCGACUGCUUGAGGACCUGACAGCACUUGCUGCAGGUGGAUCUGCGAUCUGGUUGCGAGUUAUUUCACUUCAACGGGCAUUUGCUCUUGAUAUACUUGAGUUCAUUUUGUCCAACUACACAGCAAUGUUUCAAAAGUUAAUACCUUAUGAAAAGGUCUUGCGCCACCAAAUAUGUUCUCUUCUUAUGACUUCGCUGCGAACAAAUGCUGAGCUUGAAGGGGAAGCUGGGGAACCUACAUUUCGACGAUUGGUCUUACGAGCUGUUGCAAAUGUUAUCAGAAUGUAUUCUUUAUCCCUUGUUACAGAAAGUGAGGUAUUUUUAAAUAUGUUGGUAAAAGUAACCCGUCUUGACUUGCCACUGUGGCAUCGGAUACUUGUGCUUGAAGUCUUGAGGGGUUUUUGUGUUGAAGCAAGGACGUUAGGUCUGCUCUUUUGGAAUUUUGAUAUGAAUCCAAAAAACACAAAUGUUGUGGAGAACAUGGUGAAAGCACUUGCUAGAGUAGUUUCCACCAUCCAAAUGGUUCCAGAAUCAAGUGAAGAGAGCCUUGCAGCUGUUGCAGGAAUGUUUAACAGUAAAGCUAAAGGAAUUGAAUGGAGCAUGGAUAGUGAUGCAUCUAAUGCUGCUGUUCUGGUUGCUAGUGAAGCCCAUGCUAUCACCUUGGCUAUUGAAGGACUUUUGGGAGUCGUUUAUACAGUUGCUACAUUAACAGAUGAAGCUGUGGAGGUGGGAGAGCUUGAUUCUCCUAGAUGCGAUACUGAUCCAUCAGCAGAAUGCACUGGAAAGACAGCUAUUUUAUGUGUGUCUAUGGUUAAUUCAACAUGGUUAACUAUUCUUGAUGCUUUGUCUCUUAUUUUGAUGAGGUCGCAAGGGGAAGCUAUAAUACUGGAGAUUCUUAAAGGAUAUCAAGCGUUUACCCAAGCAUGUGGAGUACUUCAUGCUGUAGAACCUUUAAAUUCUUUCUUGGCAUCGCUAUGUAAAUUUACCAUCAACAUUCCAAGUGAGGGAGAAAAGAAAAGUGUUCUACUCUCUCCUGGAUCAAAGAGGUCAGACUCCCUACCUGAUCAGCGAGAUAAUGUUGUUUUAACCCCUAAAAAUGUGCAGGCAUUGAGAACACUCUUCAACGUAGCACACCGCUUGCAUAAUGUCUUGGGUCCAUCCUGGGUUUUGGUCUUGGAGACUCUGGCGUCUCUAGAUAGAACCAUUCAUUCUCCUCAUGCAUCUACCCAGGAAGUUUCAGCUUCUGCUUCAAGACUUGCAAGAGAAACAUCUGGGCACUAUACUGACUUCCACAUUCUCUCUUCUUUGAAUUCUCAGCUAUUCGAAAGUUCAGCAUUAAUGCAUGUAUCUGCAGUGAAGUCACUGCUAUCUGCAUUACGUCAGUUAUCAAGUCAGUGCAGUUCUGGAAAUUCUCAAGCACAAAGUCAGCAGAUUGGAGGUGUUGCAUUCUCGGUGGAGCGCAUGACGUCUAUACUUGUAAAUAAUCUCCACAGGGUUGAGCCCCUAUGGGAUCAAAUUGUUGCUCAUCUUCUUGAGCUAGCUGAUAAUUCAAACCCACAAGUAAGAAAUUUGGCACUAGAUGCACUAGAUCAGUCAAUUUGUGCAGUCUUGGGCUCUGAUGAAUUUCAGGGCAUUAAAGCAUCUCAACAGUUGCCUGAUUCUCAUGAUGCCAAAGAUGCUGAAGUUGGAUCAUUUGAAUGUGUUUUUCUAUCUCCGUUGUUGGUUCUUUAUAUGUCUAGUCAGAGCCUUGAUGUUCGGGCGGGAUCAUUAAAAAUAUUAUUGCAUGUUUUAGAGAGACAUGGCGACAAACUGUAUUAUAGCUGGCCCAGUAUACUUAAAUUGUUGAGGGCUGUGGCUGAUGCAUCAGAGAGAGAUCUUGUGCCAUUAGGAUUCCAGAGUAUGCGCAUCAUCAUGAAUGAUGGACUGUCAACCAUUCCUACACACUGUCUUGAUGUCUGUAUAGAAGUCACAGGUGCAUAUAGUGCUCAGAAGAAGGAAAUAAAUAUAAGUUUGACCGCAAUUGGCCUACUUUGGACUGCAACUGACUUUAUUGCGAAGGGAUUGGCUCACAGUCUCAUCCAGGAAAUUGAUGAUGGGAUUGCUCCUGGUGUAGACCCCAAAGAUGAACAGGCCAUUCAUACCAUGGAAGUUCAUGAACCAAUUAUCUCGAAAAGUUUGAUUGAUUACAAUAAGUUGCUUUUUUCAGUUUUCUCCAUUCUUCAAAAUCUUGCAGGAGAUCAGAGGCCUGAGGUAAGAAAUUCAGCGAUUAGGACUUUGUUUCAGACUUUGGGCAGUCAUGGACAGAAGAUACCCGGAAGUAUGUGGGAGGAUUGCCUAUGGAAUUAUGUAUUCCCCAUUCUAGAUCGUGUUUCUCACCUGGCAUCCACUUCAUCCCGGGAAGAGUGGCAAGGAAAAGAAUUAGGGACUCGAGGAGGAAAAGCUGUUCAUAUGCUGAUUCACCACAGCCGCAAUACGGCUCAGAAGCAAUGGGAUGAGACUAUCGUAUUGGUUUUGGGUGGAAUAACAAGGCUACUGCGCUCCUUUUUCCCUUUUCUUCAGAGUUUAGGCAAUUUUGCUGCUUGUUGGGAACUUCUGCUAGAUUUUGUCAAGAAUAGCAUCUUAAAUGGUAGUAAAGAAGUUGCACUUGCUGCAAUAAAUUGUUUACAGACAAUUGUUAAUUCACAUUGUCCAAAGGGAAACCUGGCUGUAUCUUAUGUCAAAUCUAUGCUUGAUGUCUAUGAACUUGUAAUUCAAAUGUUCCCUAAUUACACUAGUAGUGCAGCUAGCAAGGUGAAGCAGGAGAUCCUGAAUGGUCUUGGAGAUCUCUAUACGCAAGCACACAUAAUGUUUGAUGCAGACAUGUACUUGCAGCUGCUUGCUAUAUUGCAUUUGGCCAUUAGAAGUUCCAAGAGUUCUGGUGACAUGGAAAAUGAAGCUAUCCAGGAAAACCUUCCACCAGUACAGCGUACAAUUUUGGAGAUUUUACCUCUUCUACGUCCUACAGAACGUCUAUCAUCCAUGUGGUCCCAGUUUAUCAAGGUGCUCCUGUGUUAUCUGAUUGGAUAUGAAGCUCGUUCACAUAAAAUCAUAAAUGACAUGGAAUUGGCAGUGCGUUCAAACCAUGAUCAUGAGGGUUUAGAAAAGGACUCUCAUAAUGCUUCAAGUUCUUCUCCAGAAAACAAAUCCAGGGAUUUCACAAAUCAUAAGGAAAUUAACAUGAAACCAAAGCCUGAUGUUGCUAAUGGUGCCUCUUCUGUCUCCAUGACAAAAUCACAGCCUUCAUUUCCUCACUCAGCUACUUCUGAUGACACAGCAAGCUCCCACUUGAGCCCUUUGUUUGGAGAAAAGCUUCUUCCUGUUAUUGUGAAGCUCUAUCUAGAGGCCUCACCAUCUGAAAAGUGCUGUAUAUCUGCUGAAAUCUUGCAUGGACUUGGAAGGUGCAUGAGUACUAGAAGAGAUAACCCAAAUGGUACCCUUUGGAAAGUUGCAGUUGAUGGCUUCAAUUGUGUUCUUAUUGAUGCCAUAACCAGAGUAAAUUCAGAAAAUAAAUUUGAUCAAAAUACCUAUAAAAGUUAUAGGGCUAGUCUUUGGAAUGAGGUGGCAGAUGUCUAUGAAAUAUUUUUGGUUGGUUCAUGUGGACGAGUUCUUUCAUCUAGAACUCUUUUGGUUGAAGCACUUUUAGCUGAUGAGGUCAUCGAGAUGAAUGUUCUGAGUACUCUGGGAGACAAGGUUCUUAAAAGCCAUAUUGAUGCUCCUCUUGAGAUAUUGGAACGAUUAAUUACAACCCUUGACCGUUGUGCAUCCAGAAUUGACUCUUUACCUCUUGAGAGUGUUGGGCUUAUGCCUUCGCAUUGUAGCAGAUUCUCUCUGAGCUGUUUACAGACAAUAUUUUCCUUAUGCAGUUUUACAUGUGAAGAUAGCUGGCAUCAAACAAGAUCGGAAGUUAGCAAGCUCACAGUCACCAUUCUUUUGAGGAGAUGUGAAACUAUUUUGGACAAGUUUUUGACUGAUGAAAAUAGCCUAGGAGAGCAUCCACUGCCGAGUGUGAGAAUCGAUGAAACUGUAUAUGUUCUUCAAGAACUUGCUCGACUGUCGAUUCAUUCGGAUGCAGCAGCUGUUCUUCAAGUACCACCAUCCGUAAGAGAAAUCCUAAAGAAGAAUAACAAUAUUGGACGUGCCCAUCUAUAUGUAUUGUUUCCAUCAUUUUGCGAGCUUGUUGUAUCAAGGGAAGUUAAGGUGAGGGAGCUAGUGCAAGUACUUCUAAGACUAAUUGCCACAGAUUUAGGGCUGCAGCGUCCAAGAUGAAAAGAGAUGACAGGUACAUUUUAAAGCUUUCCGUGCAUCAACUUUGCUGCAACAGUUAUGUUGAUAUUGCAAUUCAUUUUUCUCGUUUGGGACACGGUGAACCAUCAUUGCCUAUCCUGCUCAUCAGGUAUAAGUUGUAACGGCAUGGCCUUGAAGUUCCAUAUAGCAGCCGUGAGUGGUGCCAAGGAAGUUCUCAAGUUCAUACUGGUAUCAGCUACACCUGUUAUUAAAGAGCUCAUCAACAAUCCCUUCACACAAUUUUUUUAGGGCCAAACCAGAAACUGAUUGCGAGAUGUUCAAGUGAAGGCCUACAUUGGUCCAGAUUUAGUAGAUACGAUUGCUUAAAGUGUCAGCAUUUGCUCUUAAACUGAUGGGAUACAUGUAACAAGCAACCCGAAAGUGCUCUGGCGUAAAUGUGUCUUAUAUUUUAAGCACUACGAAGCUAAAAGGGAUUCCAAGGGAUAUUAUAGGUUCAGUCUUUUGUUUCGGAUCACUAAUCCAUUUCAUCAGACGAAUCUGCGUCCUCCAAUGGAUAUGCUGAUAGUUAAUUCGUUCAGCUGCACUUUUAUCUCCACCGUGCUACCCGAGUACGUUGAAAUUGUAGGCCUCUCAGCAUUGUAAUGCUUAUAUCUUAAAUAUUUUUUAUUUCUUAGUUUCUGUUGAUUCAUGAAGCUUAAAUCAAGGAUGAUCUUUAUUUACCCAA